RNAcentral lists this ribosomal RNA (600 nucleotides) under Streptomyces sp. RNAcentral's name for it is "bacterial SSU rRNA". It matches the Rfam family "Bacterial small subunit ribosomal RNA", at positions 145 to 759 of the family's 1533-position model. The record is from RNAcentral. Lineage: Bacteria; Bacillati; Actinomycetota; Actinomycetes; Kitasatosporales; Streptomycetaceae.
AAGCCCUGGAAACGGGGUCUAAUACCGGAUAACACCGGCUUCCGCAUGGGAGCUGGUUAAAAGCUCCGGCGGUGAAGGAUGAGCCCGCGGCCUAUCAGCUUGUUGGUGGGGUAAUGGCCUACCAAGGCGACGACGGGUAGCCGGCCUGAGAGGGCGACCGGCCACACUGGGACUGAGACACGGCCCAGACUCCUACGGGAGGCAGCAGUGGGGAAUAUUGCACAAUGGGCGAAAGCCUGAUGCAGCGACGCCGCGUGAGGGAUGACGGCCUUCGGGUUGUAAACCUCUUUCAGCAGGGAAGAAGCGAAAGUGACGGUACCUGCAGAAGAAGCGCCGGCUAACUACGUGCCAGCAGCCGCGGUAAUACGUAGGGCGCAAGCGUUGUCCGGAAUUAUUGGGCGUAAAGAGCUCGUAGGCGGCUUGUCACGUCGGGUGUGAAAGCCCGGGGCUUAACCCCGGGUCUGCAUCCGAUACGGGCAGGCUAGAGUGUGGUAGGGGAGAUCGGAAUUCCUGGUGUAGCGGUGAAAUGCGCAGAUAUCAGGAGGAACACCGGUGGCGAAGGCGGAUCUCUGGGCCAUUACUGACGCUGAGGAGCGAAAG